RNAcentral lists this transfer RNA (83 nucleotides) under Paracoccaceae bacterium. RNAcentral describes it as "Rhodobacteraceae bacterium (activated sludge metagenome) tRNA-Met". It matches the Rfam family "tRNA". Rfam says of the family: Transfer RNA (tRNA) molecules are approximately 80 nucleotides in length. Their secondary structure includes four short double-helical elements and three loops (D, anti-codon, and T loops). Further hydrogen bonds mediate the characteristic L-shaped molecular structure. tRNAs have two regions of fundamental functional importance: the anti-codon, which is responsible for specific mRNA codon recognition, and the 3' end, to which the tRNAs corresponding amino acid is attached (by aminoacyl-tRNA synthetases). tRNAs cope with the degeneracy of the genetic code in two manners: having more than one tRNA (with a specific anti-codon) for a particular amino acid; and 'wobble' base-pairing, i.e. permitting non-standard base-pairing at the 3rd anti-codon position. The record is from RNAcentral. Lineage: Bacteria; Pseudomonadati; Pseudomonadota; Alphaproteobacteria; Rhodobacterales; Paracoccaceae.
GGCGGAGUAGCUCAGUUGGUUNNGGUUAGAGCAGCGGAAUCAUAAUCCGCGUGUCGGGGGUUCAAGUCCCUCCUCCGCUACCA